AUUGAACGCUGGCGGCAUGCCUAACACAUGCAAGUCGAACGGCAGCACGGUCUAGUUUACUAGAUGGGUGGCGAGUGGCGGACGGGUGAGUAAUGCGCAGGAAUAUGCCUUAAAGAGGGGGAUAACUUGGGGAAACUCAAGCAAAUACCGCAUAAUCUCUAUGGAGAAAAGCUGGGGACCUUCGGGCCUGGCGCUUUAAGAUUAGCCUGCGUCCGAUUAGCUAGUUGGUAGGGUAAAGGCCUACCAAGGCGACGAUCGGUAGCUGGUCUGAGAGGAUGACCAGCCACACUGGAACUGAGACACGGUCCAGACUCCUACGGGAGGCAGCAGUGGGGAAUAUUGGACAAUGGGGGCAACCCUGAUCCAGCAAUGCCGCGUGUGUGAAGAAGGCCUGAGGGUUGUAAAGCACUUUCAGUGGGGAGGAGGAUUGCUAGGUUAAGAGCUAGGUAAUUGGACGUUACCCACAGAAGAAGCACCGGCUAACUCCGUGCCAGCAGCCGCGGUAA
This 506-nucleotide ribosomal RNA is filed under the name uncultured bacterium. Its description in RNAcentral is "partial 16S ribosomal RNA". It matches the Rfam family "Bacterial small subunit ribosomal RNA", at positions 30 to 523 of the family's 1533-position model. The record is from RNAcentral.